AUAGGCUCCAGGCUCUCCUGCGACCCUGAAAAGGAGUAAGCGUUUGAAGAUGGAUGGAUGGAUGGAUAAUGUGAAUCAUUUGACCAUACAUAAAGAAAUAGAUCUGCAUUUUGGGAAGAGAUGAUGCCUGAGUAUUUCUCCAACAGCAUUUAAAUAUUGCCAUGACAUUAUAUAAGAAAGACCUAAACGCACAAUAAUCCAACUUUGACACAUUUUCAGCAUAGACAUUUCAAACCAGAGCACUUAAAGUAUUUCACAUCUAAUUCAGUACAUAAUAUACAAAAAGACACAUGUAUAACCAAAUAGCUAUAGUAAACUUCCCAAAACUCAUACAUAACAAUACCAUGUUUCAAUUCAUGAGGAUACUACAACAAUGGAUAUAUUUCAUAACAUUAAGUGGUACAUGUGUGAAUGUGUGAACUACACAUGGAGUUUAACAGGAGCAUGUAAACUAUCUAAGAAAAUAUAAGGUGAAGAUGUGAGCCUCUAAGAACUCAGCAGACAGCAAAGGCCCAUAAGAUUUAUGAUGUAUCCAGCAACCAUGGACCCAUACACCACCUCAGAUCUCAGUUUAGAAACAAAUCAAAUGGACAAUAAAUUAAGGCAUAAAACUCAAUGUUCUAAAUGCUUCUUCAUAAGGUCUCUUUGGGAACAUUUUCCAUGUGGGCAGCGCAACAAACAAUAACUGGAUCCAGUAAACAAUCUAAGAAAGAAUAUGAGAAGUCGACAUCAAUUAUGUGUGUGGCCAGGGUCAAGCUGACUGGAUUGGAGUGAUCAGUCAUGUAACUCCAUUAUUUAAACAAUUUCCAUCUUACUUUCCACAAUCCUUAACUUGCGGGCACACUCCUAAAUGAAAGCACAUUCACAACUCAUCUUAGACUCAUACCUGCACUCAGAUCUCACAGCAUUUCCUUAUUCCUCUAUGAAUAAUUGAACAGUGUCUGUGUGCAUUCUCCUGAACCAAUGUGCUGUUCUUUGUCUAAAACAACCUAAGAGUGAGUUGGGAAUAUCAUCCUUCCUGUGGAGUAGCUGUGGCAGGAGACUGACGAUCCGACACUGAGACAGUGGAGGUGUGUGAUGGGGACGCUGGGCUGAUGUGUGGGAUGGAGGGUGUGAAGUGGAUUGUCGACUUCAAUCGGCAUCAUAUCAACAUCUCGAUUCCCCCCUGAGCCCGGCGGAGCCGAGACAAGUUAAGCAGUGGCAGAGAAAGGAGUAAUGAAUUGGGUGGGCUUCUCUUCUGUCACAAACAGUGACUCAGAUGAUAUGUGGGAGCAAUAAAAGGAUUACUCAAAGCAGAAACUCCCUCUGUGCCUGCAAACCAUUCAGACAAGUUGCUCCCAAACUUUAGAAUUCUAACCUCAAGUCCAUACAUGUAAUUAUAACCCUGUCUUUUUUCAUACAAUACCAUAACUCUCAUUCCAAGAGAUCGCCCCUCCACCAUCAUUAGAAAUCAGAUAACCAUCAUUAUUUAAUCAUCUUGUCAUGUAUAAUGUUCAGGCUAAAAUUCUAGUAGAAAUGUCUGUGAUCUUGUAUAAGUAUUCAAUCUUUAUGUAUUAACAAAUAAAAAAAGUUUAUUUCCUUUCAAUUAGCCAAACAUUAUACAUAGAUUUUCAAAACGUAUAUUCUCUGUUGUUUAAGCUCCUGCUCCUGUAUUUGAUGUGUUGCACAUUUUCCAAUUUCCAGUACACACAUUUACACAAACCCUCCUAAGAAAAGGCAAGCGGUCUCCCAGUGUUCCAUGUGGCUAAUUUCCCAUAAUCACUUGUGGGCUAGACUGGCACCGCAGUGGCUCAUCGCACGGCUUCAAUAGAGCAUAAUCCAGCCUGCCGUUCCACACAGCCCGCCAACACGACGCAUCAGACGCAUCAGCUGGCAUCCCGCCUCACCCUCCGCCUGGCAUCUCCAGAAUUUCUGUCCAUAUGAUUGAGAAGGAGUGUGUCAGUGCGUGCGUGUGUGUGUGAAUAUAGCAAAGUGAGAUCAAAAAUAGAAAAGCCAUGCCUUCUGCAGAAUAAGCAAUUGAGUUUUUGGCUUAGAUCAUGCAUUUGCUCAGAAAAGCCGACUGCCAGCUGAGUCCAUGCUGAGAUGAAAUAUGUGUGU
Long non-coding RNA from Ictalurus punctatus (channel catfish), 2097 nucleotides. The record is from Ensembl. NCBI's taxonomy places the organism in Eukaryota, Metazoa, Chordata, Actinopteri, Siluriformes, Ictaluridae.